Molecule: long non-coding RNA, 616 nt
Organism: Piliocolobus tephrosceles (Ugandan red Colobus)
Lineage: Eukaryota; Metazoa; Chordata; Mammalia; Primates; Cercopithecidae
Exons: 2
Source: RefSeq, a predicted model, not a curated record
UGAGUCAGCACUGGCAGGGGCCCCAGGAACUGGGGACCGGGGUUGUGUAGGGAGGAGGGCAGUUCCCACGCCCUAAGGCGUCUGGGGCGCUGGGGCUUCCCCCACCGCUCCUCCCAUCCUGUGCUGGGCUCUGGGGAUCUUCAGAGGAGUCUGGGGGGUGAGAAGCCCAGGGCGGAUUGGCCACUGGGCCAGGAUCCAGGAAUCUUCUCUCCUGGUCUGACCCAGUUCUGGAAUGCAGAGGCCGCCCGCCCCGGCAAAUGCGUUGCAGCAAGAAGGAGAGUUAGACGUAGAGAAACACCGAGUUUCAGAGGUGCCGGGAAGUCUGAGCCUUCGCCCUCCUGCUCUCCCUCAAUGUCCACCUAAGAGGCCGCCUACACCUGGGCAAGGGCACCCGGGCUCAGCUGGAUUUCCAGGAAGACCCACCCUAUGAGGACCACUCCCACUCCCAGACCCUCCCCCCAGCCUGAGAUUGAGCCCUGGGAAUGCCCUGGGGUUGGCGAGGGAACAGCUGAAAUCGCCCGUCCUUGGGGACCCUGUCCUUUGUGCCAUCUGCCAUCUCCCCAGUGCUGGGCAUCCAGUCAGCACUCAAUAAAUGCUUAUGAAUGGAUCAACAACA